UCCUCCAACUUCUACUGCCCAGCUGCCAUGGGAAUCCAAGGCCUUGUUGUCUGAUGAUUGAUAGCAAAUGGAGAUGCUCUCUUACAGAGAACAACCAAAUGAAUGUCCUGUCUGGCUUGACUGGUGCAUCUCUCCAGAGCCCUGCUGUUCACAGACCUUUUGCAAUUCAGGAUGGUGGACUUGAAAGCAGCAAAGCAGUUCAGCAUAUGUUUCAAUUAAAAGUCAUGUGUGGUAGUUUAGUCUAGGCCUUUCUUGGUGACCAGUUUGUAACCAAGGAAGUGCCCAGAUUUACCCAGUAUUCCCUACGAUUUUUAUGUAAGCCAGGGUAUAAGAAGAAAGCAGGAAAGGCCUUCGUCUCUCUUUACUUCUGGCAGCUUUGGAGGUGUGAGUUUCCCUGCUGUUGAGUCUGCCGUGUUGGUGAGUGAGGCCUAGUAAGGCCUUGCCGACCUUGGGAGACAGAGGUUGCCGGCGAUCGUUCCAGCGCAACUUUCUGUUGUCCCAAGGAGAGUAAUGGCUGUUUAAGGUGUAAUGUGAUGUGCUAGCUGAACAGCACAGUCAACAUCAACGAGUUGCAGUCAUCUGAGCAUAGACUCUCAAAGCCCAAUAUCACACCACAUAAGGUGAUCCUGAGGAACAGAGGAAGAUGAGAGUGAUCUUUGAAAGGAUUUAGGUCUUCACCAGCACUGCUACAUUUCAGGAGGAAUUCCUCCCCUGCUCAAAACUGCUCCACAUACAACUCAGAUACUCAAGAUAUGCACUGAGGAAAGGUACAUUUUACAGAGAUGCACAGGAGGAAAAACAAAACCCCCAAGCUUCACACUAGAUCAAUGAAACGUCUUAAAACAACUGGAUCCCAGUUCUCCAGCUGAAUGUCACCAUGGUACCUGGCUGGUCAUCAAAUACAGAAAUUUCAGAAUGCAUAAUUUUUGUCCCUGUUCCUGCCCAGUGGAAAUUAGGGGAUUUCCCUAUUUUCAGACCACAUUUAGCUUGUGGGGUGUGAAUGAUGCUGGAGAGUUCAUCUGUAAGAGAGUGGCUGCUGUCUGGGAGCAGGAGAGCCCAGCUGCCAUGGAAACCAAGCCUUCAAAUGCCCUGAACUUGCAGCACCAGCCUUGGGAGAGGAUUCCAGUGGUGAAGCUCAAAGAAGGGAAUGCUGGAGGAGGUGUAAAGGUGGAGGAGUGGGAAGGUGUAAGGUUGACUGUGGCAGGAACAGGUCUGGGCUGUUCUGCCAAGGCACUGCACAAGGACCUUAAUCUGACAUACUGGAAACUUUAAAGAUCAGGUUUUUUCCUACAGAGAAAGUGUUGAGGUGAAGGGCUGCAAAUUGCAAGUUACAAGUUGAACACCAGAAGAAUCUUGGAAGGACAAAAGUUGUGGAAGCUACUGGGAAGGUGGAUUGAGAGAAAAAUACCAUUCACCUUUUGGGAACAACAGG
This is a long non-coding RNA of Lepidothrix coronata (blue-crowned manakin), 1432 nucleotides long. RefSeq lists it as uncharacterized. Lineage: Eukaryota; Metazoa; Chordata; Aves; Passeriformes; Pipridae. The transcript is spliced from 8 exons. The record is from RefSeq and is a predicted model, not a curated record.